This 255-nucleotide ribosomal RNA is filed under the name uncultured bacterium. Its description in RNAcentral is "partial 16S ribosomal RNA". It matches the Rfam family "Bacterial small subunit ribosomal RNA", at positions 524 to 776 of the family's 1533-position model. The record is from RNAcentral.
UACGGAGGGUGCAAGCGUUAUCCGGAUUCACUGGGUUUAAAGGGUGCGUAGGCGGGUAUAUAAGUCAGCGGUGAAAUCUCCGGGCUCAACCCGGAAACUGCCAUUGAUACUAUUAGUCUUGAAUAUUGUUGAGGUAGGCGGAACGGGUCAUGUAGCGGUGAAAUGCAUAGAUAUGACCCGGAACACCGAUUGCGAAGGCAGCCUACUAAGCAAUUAUUGACGCUGAGGCACGAAAGCGUGGGGGAAUCAAACAGG